Molecule: long non-coding RNA, 1199 nt
Filed under: Felis catus (domestic cat)
Lineage: Eukaryota; Metazoa; Chordata; Mammalia; Carnivora; Felidae
Description: lncRNA (ENSFCAG00000050461.1)
Rfam family: mir-187 microRNA precursor family (bases 1020-1100)
Source: RNAcentral
GUCGGACGCUUAACCGACUGCGCCACCCAGGUGCCCCAAAGUUGUUCAUUUUUAAUCUGCUCAGUCUGUAUAAAUGUGGGCACAAGGUUACUCUGUGAGCCUCAGGGAUUCGUGUCUUCUCUUAUUGGCGGAAAAUCAUGUGAUAUUUCUAUACUUUAUUUACUGUCUAAUCUGUGCUCUAAGUCCUUUUUGAAAGAUGGGAGACAGCAGUAGGGUGAGCAUUGCUUCUGAUGACUCCAUCAGUCCCAAAGCCGGUGACUUCAGAGGAAUUUAGCAAAGGGGAGUCUGGAGGAGACAUUUCAAUAGGUCACCUUUGGAGGAACUGACGUGGAGCAUUCUUUUGAUUCUGGACCCACCUCCUUUUAUUUUGUAAGGAAAAACAGAAAUGGUUGGCGAAAAAAAGAAUCCACAUAAAAAUGAUAUGUAGGGGUUUUUGAAUAAAAAUAAGUCAUAAGUAAGUAAUAAAUCCUCCGCAGGACCAUUGGAAAUGGAGAGCAAUAACCCCGUGUUUACCGCCUUACUCCCAAAGGGCAGAUAUUUAUUAUAAUUCAGAGCAAUUCAUUGUACUAGUCGGGCAUUUAUAAAAUUCUCAUCAUAGUAUUAGAGGAAGAACCCAUUUCCUAGGAAGUAUUGUGGUAAUAAACUGUAAUUAGUGGCUUGUAAACAGCCAUAAUUCAUUUCUUGAAGGAAAAGACGUGUGGGCAUUUAAGUACCUGGGUGCAAAUAGGCUCUCUGAGCAUUUGCGUCAGGCCCGGGGGCUCACGUGGAGAGCGUGGCGCGCACGCUGCCCCGGGCGGGGCUCGGUGCUGGAGGCUCCAGGCCGCCCCUCCGAGGCCGUUGGCGUCCCCCCGAUGCCAAGGGUCCAGCCCCAGCCGCAGCACAUAGUCCCCAUGCCACCCUCUGUUUUCCAGCUUGCCCGUCCCGGUGCACAGCAAGUCGGAUUCGCCAAGCGGAAGCCAGGUGGCCUACCUGGAAGAGGAAGCGAGGCAGGUGCCCACCGGCCGGGCUCACCACAACACGGUGUGAGACCUCGGGCUACAACACGGGACCCGGGCGCUGCUCCGACCCCUCGUGUCUUGUGUUGCAGCCGGAGGGACGCAGGUCCGCAGCGGAGCCCGCAACGCCGUCCCCCGCCCCCCGGACUCGAGACGGACGGCAGAAGGCCCAGCUGGGGCGAAGGUUACAGUGUUCAUUUCUGA